CGAAUCCCUCUCUUUCC
Molecule: transfer RNA, 17 nt
Filed under: Radula physoloba
Lineage: Eukaryota; Viridiplantae; Streptophyta; Jungermanniopsida; Radulales; Radulaceae
Also listed under: 4 other names
Description: partial tRNA-Ser
Source: RNAcentral